CUACGGGGCGCUCCAGUGGGGAAUAUUGGACAAUGGGGGAAACCCUGAUCCAGCAAUGCCGCGUGUGUGAAGAAGGCCUGCGGGUUGUAAAGCACUUUCGGUUGGGAGGACUGCUUCUAGCACUAAUAUUGUUGGAAGUUGACGUUACCUUCAGAAGAAGCACCGGCUAACUCCGUGCCAGCAGCCGCGGUAAUACGGAGGGUGACAAGCGUUAAUCGGAAUUACUGGGCGUAAAGCGCGCGUAGGCGGCUAGAUCAGUCGGGUGUGAAAGCCCCGGGCUUAACCUGGGAACUGCAUCCGAUACUGUCUAGCUUGAGUACAGGAGAGGAGAGUGGAAUUCCACAUGUAGCGGUGCAAUGCGUAGAUAUGUGGAGGAACACCAAUGGCGAAGGCAGCUCUCUGGCCUGAUACUGACGCUGAGGUGCGAAAGCGUGGGGAGCAAACAGGAUUAGAUACCCUGUAGUC
This 465-nucleotide ribosomal RNA is filed under the name uncultured bacterium. RNAcentral's name for it is "partial 16S ribosomal RNA". It matches the Rfam family "Bacterial small subunit ribosomal RNA", at positions 339 to 795 of the family's 1533-position model. The record is from RNAcentral.